UACGGGGGGAGCAAGCGUUGUUCGGAUUUACUGGGCGUAAAGGGCGCGUAGGCGGCCACUGCAAGUCGGUUGUGAAAUCUCCGGGCUUAACCCGGAAAGGUCAAUCGAUACUGCAGGGCUAGAGUGCAGAAGGGGCAACUGGAAUUCUCGGUGUAGCGGUGAAAUGCGUAGAUAUCGAGAGGAACACCUGCGGCGAAGGCGGGUUGCUGGGCUGACACUGACGCUGAGGAGCGAAAGUGUGGGGAGCGAACAGG
Molecule: ribosomal RNA, 254 nt
Filed under: uncultured bacterium
Lineage: Bacteria
Description: partial 16S ribosomal RNA
Rfam family: Bacterial small subunit ribosomal RNA
Source: RNAcentral